CCUCUUUGAGAAGUGAGGAAUGCAGCUGAAACCAAAGUCCAGAAAACAUGCCCGGCACCCAGACAAGGCCCCACGGAUCAAUAAACUCAGGUUGUGACCCGCAGGUCAGUUUGUCAAACAGGACAUCAGGGACGCAUAAAACUCAUUCCCGCUCUCCUUCCUGACACCAGAAGAGCCUGGAUUGCUUCCCAUUGUGCUGCGAGAGCUUGAAACGUGGCCAUGCUAUUUCCAGCAUCUCCUUUGCCCGCAGGGAUUGGAGGCACAUCCCGGUUUUUCCAGCAUCUGCGAGCAGCAGGCACUGCUGCGUGUGCCAGCUCGGCGAGCCUCCCCUACCUGCCCGUGCUGCCUUGUGGCCGCUGGAAGCGCUACAGAGGAAAAAAACUGCAUUUCCCAAGGAGUUCUGUCUGCGUCCCCAUUGUUCUCAGCAUCCAUCCUUCCAUUCUUGGUGGGAAAGGACAAAUUAAAGCAAGGCUCUCAAGGGUGGGGCUCGGUUUGUGCUCCUCUGAACUGUCAUGUUCGCUUUUGGCCGCUGAAGAGCUUUUCAGAAGGCUUUCAGUGACUCAGAAACCUCAAAUCUCUUGGUUUUCAGCGGGAGCUGGGCUCCUGCUGGAGCUGCAAAAAGCAAGUUCUGCUUGUGAGUGUCUGGAGGAACAUCCUGGCUUUUCCAUGGACAUUUAACAGCCCUGGGCCAGGCUCUGGGAGUUUGGGGCUGGGAUAUAACUGGGGUGACUUCUGGAGCCUGUUGGGAUGGCUUAUUCCAAAGCUUAUUCCAACCUUGCACUGAGAGCAAAAGUGACCCAGGAGAUUUUAUUGCUCUGGACAGGAGAAAAUGCUCAGCCAGAGUUUAGGUAAUGGUGUGUCCCCAGUGUCCCCAAGAGGGAAACCUCCAGGAGAUGAGAUGGACCAGACAAGGGAGCCAAGGAUGCCAAGGAGGGACCUCCAGAGCUGGUACCAGAGGCACAGUCUGACUCAAAGGGACUUUGGGGCUGUUCCUGUUGAAUUCAGUUAAGGAAAUUAAGAUUGCAAAUCCUGCUAAAGAGCUCAAACCCCCAGCAGGCAGAAGCAGAGG
Long non-coding RNA from Passer domesticus (house sparrow), 1069 nucleotides. RefSeq lists it as uncharacterized. Lineage: Eukaryota; Metazoa; Chordata; Aves; Passeriformes; Passeridae. The record is from RefSeq and is a predicted model, not a curated record. The transcript has 2 exons.